AUGAGCCACCUUCCAGGAUCGGUGUGUGGCCAGAGGCCAGAUCCUGCCCGGGGAGGGAGGGGUAGCACCUGCACACCGGCGCGGCUCUGGAGCGUCUCCAAGAGCAGCAGCAGGUUUGCUGAGACGCCACCCAGCUGGGGAAUGCACCUGCCCGGGCGGGAGGCGAGGGCUCCGCCGGACCGCGGGGCUGCCGCGCACCGGCAACGGGAGCCUCGCCCGGCUCCUGGCAGGCACUGGCAAGAGCAAGGGAAGAGAUUUUCCCUGUGGGCUCCCUCGUCAGCUGGAUCCAGUGGAAGGAAAGCCAGGAAAAGCCAUUGCUGCCAGGCUGGAGCAGGGAAGUGUGCCGGGGUGUCGCAUGUGGGCAGUGUCUGCUGCAGGCUAUGGACAGAUCAGGAGAAGAAGCAAACAAGCUGUGACGGACUGGGAAAACAGAGGGCUGAGAUGGCUUGGAUUCGCUUGAGAUUGUGAAGCUCUGCUGGCUCUCAUCCACACUGCUCAGGUAAAUAAUUUUAUGUAUUGUUAUUUUAUAGGAAACCUUGUUGGACUCUCCCAGUCUCCAUGAUGCUUACGAAGUCCACAUAAAAGCUGCAUGAAACCCUUCCAAGGCUGGAAGUACAAGGAAGUACUGCAGGAGCCUGUCUCAUCCCCAGACUUCCCCUCCUAAACCCUGUGGGUAAGCAUUGAUUCGAGGGGUACCCUGGGUUUGAGAAGAGAUGGAAGUGAGAAACAUUUCAAGAGCUGAAUUGCAUGUGGUUCUGAAAUUGCAUUGUUAAUUAAUGUACAGUCUGUGGCCUGUCUGCCAGUUAUCAGUCUGUCAGGCACAAAAAGUUUAAAAGUUACUAAAUAUAUGCAUGUAUCACUCCGAGGCGUUCAGCCAGGGUACAUCUCCCACACCUGCAGCCAGGAGUGGCCAGGAGCACAUUGAUGAUGACCCUCAAUUUCCACUGAAAUGUUGUCAGAGCAGGGAAAGAAAAAAACAACCAACACAAUGGAAAAGGAAAACCAUGAAUACUUUUGUUUUCCUGCAUUCCUAGUGCUUUCCUGCUCUUCCUCCACAGCUGCCAGCCAGCAGUGGGGAAGGACAGCAUGUCACUUUUUUCCUGAAAUGUGCUGUUUGGACUUAAAGCAUUGUGUGGCUGGGCUGGUCCUCUCCUGCUUUUUCUCUUGCACACAGAGAUGGAAGCACAGAAGGUGCUGGCUUCAGUAGUGAGAGUAUAGAGAUUAAUGACCCGUGAUCCACACUAUCAAAUACACCAAUCUGAUGGGCCACUGGCUUGUUAUGGUCUGUCCCAGACCAGUGAGACCAGCUAGCCCAAAGAACACCAAAAGAAGGGGCAACAGCUUUGGGGGGCUGUCCUCCCUCACGGCAGAGCAGGCAUCUAUAUUCCUUCCUUCCUUCCUCUCAGUCUGAUCUGGGCAAAGUGAUGUGCUGCACAGUGCCAAGAAAGCAAUCAGCAAAGCUGCUGUGAGAGCAAAGUUCAUCCCUUCUUCAAGGAGUGGUGGGUGACAGUCCAGGAUAGCUUUGGUUUAACAUAGAAAGAGCUUUCUGAAGAGGGUGGGAGGCAAUGCACCCAGCCUGAGGAAUGAGAAUCUGCAGCUAGAUUUAAGGAGGAAUGUUUUCAUGGUGAGGGUGAUUUAACUCUGGAAUGAUCCCUGAGGGGCUAUAGAUUCUCCUUCCUUGGCAUGUAAAUGAAUGGGGCCCUGACCUGCUCAGUCUGACUUUUAGGUGAACUCUGCUUUAAGCAGGUGACUUCACAAGGUCCCAUCCCACCUUAAUUAUUCUGUGAUUCUAGGAGUAAAAAUACUGUUAUUAGCAGCACAAGCCCUCAGGGUCUAGAGGGAUGAUUUUAGCAUCUAGCAAGUGUAGAUGGUUUUAGAGCAAAAGAUUAUAUUCCCAGAACAUUUUCAAACAGACGCAAGGAAACAUGAAAGUACACUUCAGUGGAAGUCUUUGCCUCUCCACAUCAUUUGUUUAAUAGAGGUUAAUGCAACACUGGGAAACUCUCCAAAUAAUCUGCUUAAUAGAGGUUAAUAUAACACUGGGAAAAACAUGCUUGUAGAGGUGAUACCUAAUUUUGUUCCUCAGCCAGAUGCUCCUAUGGUUUUAUUUUGCUCUCUUGUCCUUCUUCUGAGCAAAUAAAAAACUAAAACGGUUAAAUUUUAAAAAGUAA
RNAcentral lists this long non-coding RNA (2171 nucleotides) under Junco hyemalis (dark-eyed junco). RNAcentral describes it as "lncRNA (ENSJHYG00000004370.1)". The record is from RNAcentral. Lineage: Eukaryota; Metazoa; Chordata; Aves; Passeriformes; Passerellidae.